ACGAGAUUUUUAAUGAUCCGCAACGUGUCUGAUAUCAUUAAGAAUGGAUCAUGCGGCCAGGAAACUUCGAUUUAACUGUUUUAAGAGGCGUGGUGUCUGACUAUUUCCUCGGAAGGAAUUUUCUUUUUAGAGUAGUGUUUAAAAGGGAGAGCAAAAGUAGAUGGCUCAUCAAAUUUGACAAGUAAUUCAUCUUAGAACAUUCAUCUCAAAAUGAAACUCAUUAAGCUUCUGCUUGCUAUGGUUUUCGUGAUUGCCAUUUGCAGUGGUGGUCAGCAUCACCAUAACCAUCAUCUUGGAUACAUGUUGGCCGCAGGACUACUGGCAAAACUGAUGGGUGAAAAUCAUCAUCAUUGCGAGCACCAUCCGAUUCACAUACCAUUUCCUGUCCAUCAUCAUGGUCAUCAUUAGAAAAAAGUGACCUUCCUCUCCUUCUGCAGGAAUCUCUACCUCAAGGAAUAUUUUCUUUCUUGUGGAAAAUUAUAUUAAUCGUACUGUAAGAUGUUUAAAAAUUGUUCUGAUUGCAAUCCACAGUAAAUCACAGCAAUAUUUUCUUUCUUAUGGGAAAUUAUCUAACUCAUGCUAUGAGAUAUUUGAAAAAUUGUUCUGAUUGCAAUCCACAGUAAAUCACAGCAAUGUUUUCCUUCUCAUGGGAAAUUAUAUUACUCAUAUGUUUUUUUUUUCUCGUGUGAAAUUAUAUUACUCAUACUGUAAGUUGUUUAAAACAAUUGUUCUGAUUGUAAUCCAGACUAAAUCACAGCAAUAUUUUCUUUCACAUUGGAAAUUACAUUAUUCAUACUGUGAGAUGGUAAUAAAAAUUUAUUGAUUGCAAUUCACAGUAUAUCAACUUGAAACAUGGAUGUUAUUAAAAGAAUUGAACAGAUAUCGUAAUAAUCAUUAAACAAACUCAUGUUAUUGCUAAAUUGUCAUCACUAACUCAAAUCGGUUUUUACUAAAUUUCUCAACCUGUUACUAUUUUGGCAAAAUUUUUGAUAUUUUUAUGUACUCAUAAAUUACAAUAGAAAUCACUUUUUUGUAUAGAUAUUAGGUGUGUUAUUUUUUCGGUUUACUAUAAUAUUAUUAAAAUAAUAAUAUUAAGAUAAUGAAAUUGCUAUCUGGACAAUAAUUGUGUAUGACAGCCACGGCUGUAUUUCUACUUUGUACUUAUUAACAUCUAAUCAUAGCAAGAUUGAUUGUAUAAACAAUUCUAUUCGGGUUAUUCUGUGUUUGAGAAUUCACAAUACGCUUUUUCAUUAUGCACACAUGGUCUUGCCAUAUUUUCUUAUUAGCUUUGUCUAAUUUAACCAUAUUUGUUUGUAAUAAAAUUUGUAUUUUAUGAUCAA
Molecule: long non-coding RNA, 1340 nt
Organism: Parasteatoda tepidariorum (common house spider)
Lineage: Eukaryota; Metazoa; Arthropoda; Arachnida; Araneae; Theridiidae
Source: RefSeq, a predicted model, not a curated record